UUGACAGCUGUGGAGUUGGAAUAAUUAUUCUUUUAUCCACAGAAAAUGUACAACAUGGGCAGCAGCCAUGUGCUUUGGAUCUGCCCUGGGGAGACACCUGCUAGGUGUUGGAGGGGAGCACAGAUUCCAAGACUCAUUCAGCUCUUGAUCUGAA
RNAcentral lists this small RNA (154 nucleotides) under Chrysemys picta bellii (western painted turtle). RNAcentral describes it as "TUC338 (ENSCPBG00000022265.1)". Lineage: Eukaryota; Metazoa; Chordata; Testudines; Emydidae. The record is from RNAcentral.